CCUCUACUAAUUAUCUCAACCUUGACGUGGUGUAGAGGCUUUAAAACUAAUAGAGAU
RNAcentral lists this non-coding RNA (57 nucleotides) under unclassified sequences. The record is from RNAcentral.